CAAUACCGCGUGAGGGAGGAAGGUCUUUGGAUUGUAAACCUCUUUUCUUAGGGAAGAAGAUCUGACGGUACCUAAGGAAUAAGCAUCGGCUAACUCCGUGCCAGCAGCCGCGGUAAUACGGAGGAUGCGAGCGUUAUCCGGAAUUAUUGGGCGUAAAGCGUCCGUAGGUGGUCUAGCAAGUCUGCUGUCAAAGAGUGGGGCUUAACCCCAUACCGGCGGUGGAAACUGCGAGACUAGAGUACAGUAGGGGUAGCGGGAAUUCCCAGUGUAGCGGUGAAAUGCGUAGAUAUUGGGAAGAACAUCGGUGGCGAAAGCGCGCUACUGGGCUGAAACUGACACUGAGGGACGAAAGCUAGGGUAGCGAAAGGGAUUAGAUACCCCUGUA
RNAcentral lists this ribosomal RNA (385 nucleotides) under uncultured cyanobacterium. Its description in RNAcentral is "bacterial SSU rRNA". It matches the Rfam family "Bacterial small subunit ribosomal RNA", at positions 392 to 792 of the family's 1533-position model. The record is from RNAcentral. Lineage: Bacteria; Bacillati; Cyanobacteriota.